Molecule: long non-coding RNA, 1857 nt
Organism: Gallus gallus (chicken)
Lineage: Eukaryota; Metazoa; Chordata; Aves; Galliformes; Phasianidae
Exons: 3
Source: RefSeq, a predicted model, not a curated record
CCCAAACAUAAUCCUGCCUGCAGAGGUGUUGAAGUAAGCAUGUCGUUGUCAGAAGCAGCGAACCUGGCUUCGGAGAGAGGGCAAUGCUUUGCUUGAGAGUCAAAAAAGGGUCUUCUGAAGAUGGAAUUGUGUUCUAUUCCAGAAAACCCACGCACGUCAUCUUUUGGUGUGGUAUCGAGGCUGUGAUUUAUUUCUUGGCCUUUUCAAGGUCUUGGAGUUUUUCCUCAAGGUUUUACUGGCUGCCUUAAUAGAAGCAUGUGAGCGCUCAGUUGGGUGUUUCUGUCAGGUGUUGUUCAACUGCUGGAAGACAGAACCAAACUGUAAAUCCAUCCAUGAAGAAAUCAGGGUAAGGGUACACGUCGUGUUAUGUGAUAUGUUAAUAAAUUAACUGCAGUUGCUAAAUUAAUGGCUUUGCUUAACGACACUGUGUACAAGUAGCUGAGGACACUCUUAAACCACAUACAAGAUACCUCUUGGUAUGUGAUAAUGGGUAUUGUAAAAUGUGUAGCCAGAAUAUUUAUAGUCAGAAUUCUGAUUUGGGGAUGGUUUGAUGCUGACAUACCUGAUAAGUUUUACAGAGAUAGGUAUACAUUUUGAAAUUGCUCUAAAGGGUUGUAGGCUUUUAAUUGAUGGAAGAGACUUGGAGAAGGCAGGUUAGAAAUUCACCUAAGAGCAAGCAAUGUGUGGUUUGAGGAAUAAUAUGUCUGCCGUCCUCAUCUGCAGAUAUUUGUUUCUUUUUGAAGACUCCUGUAUUUUAUAUAACAAAAUCACUGGUUCACAAAUGAGUCUUUCUUCAGGGCAGCACAAAAAGUCACCCGAAUACAGCUUUUCAGGUGGGCGGCUGAGUUUGGUGGCUUUGCUUUCCCUUGUCUUUCUGAGAGGAAAAAAGCAGAGGCAAAUGCUCCAGCUGAGAUCUGGCUCCCUUCCAGAGGCAGUAGCUCUGGUAUGACUCAGUGAGGGGGCCUGCUUAUCUUCCUCUGUUUUUCCCUCCCCUUUCCCCCUAUGCUGACCUGGCAAGGCUGUAUAUCUGAUCCCAUCCCAGUGUCUUUCUCUCCUCCCUUGCUGCUCACUUGAGAAGGAAUGAGCUCAUCACAGGAACUUGCUGCUUUUGUGCCCAGUGUGUGAUUAACCUUUUUUCCUCCCUUCAUUCUCACCACCAUUCCAGACGCUUUGUCCAGCAAUAGUCAUUCCCCAGAGCCUCCUCUGGUCGUGAUCCCAGUGUUUACAGCCAAGGAUCAUUCCAGAUGCUGCUGCUUUCCGUUUUCCAGAAGUGGGCAUUUCUCGUGACGAAGACUUCCAGGCCCUUCAUUGUGAGGGUAUGAGGAUGCAAAAUAGGACGCAGCUGCUGUGGCCGCGACUUACCUCUUCAUCAUCUCCUUCAAAUUGUACAACUCCUGAUGGGGGUUGCUGUGGAUUGCAGCACGGCCUGGAAGAUAUUUCAGCCUCCCAUUUCUGCCUCUUGCAGUGGCAGGUUUCUUACACCGUUGAAGAGCCAUUUGAAAAAUGGCCUCAUGCUGAUUUGUUUCACUUUCCUCCAGAAGUUUAUAAUUCCUGUAAGAUGUGAACAGCACUGGAGUAGAAAUUGAGGAAUUUGAGAUUCGUUUAUGCUGAGAUUGCUUUCUGUGUUUGAGUUUUGUCAGUGAUAUGAUUGGAGGUCCUUAGUGAGUAAUUGUUACCUGGUUAUUUUUUUAAAGGAUGUGUUUCUAGUGUACUUUUGCUAUGUUUUGGUUUUGCUUUGUGUUGUUUUGUUUUAAAGAACGGUCUACUUUUUGAGGCAUUUGUUACCUACUUUGUAUGGGUUGCCUGCUGAGUUGUUUGAGCAAUGAGGGACUGCCUGAAUAAACUGUGAGAUUCUGC